Molecule: transfer RNA, 75 nt
Filed under: Meloidogyne enterolobii
Lineage: Eukaryota; Metazoa; Nematoda; Chromadorea; Rhabditida; Meloidogynidae
Rfam family: tRNA
About the family: Transfer RNA (tRNA) molecules are approximately 80 nucleotides in length. Their secondary structure includes four short double-helical elements and three loops (D, anti-codon, and T loops). Further hydrogen bonds mediate the characteristic L-shaped molecular structure. tRNAs have two regions of fundamental functional importance: the anti-codon, which is responsible for specific mRNA codon recognition, and the 3' end, to which the tRNAs corresponding amino acid is attached (by aminoacyl-tRNA synthetases). tRNAs cope with the degeneracy of the genetic code in two manners: having more than one tRNA (with a specific anti-codon) for a particular amino acid; and 'wobble' base-pairing, i.e. permitting non-standard base-pairing at the 3rd anti-codon position.
Source: Rfam by way of RNAcentral
GGCGGCGUGGUGUAAUGGCUAACACAUGGGGUUUCCGGUCUACUGAAGAUGCUGGUUCGCUCCCAGCCGCCGAUU